Molecule: ribosomal RNA, 174 nt
Filed under: Microdon mutabilis
Lineage: Eukaryota; Metazoa; Arthropoda; Insecta; Diptera; Syrphidae
Description: partial 18S ribosomal RNA
Source: RNAcentral
CGUUCGUAGUUGAAUUUGUGCUUCAUGCAGGUAGUACAACUAUAAUCGUAGUUUGUACAUUACCUUAUGCAUGUAAGCGUAUUAUCGGUGGAGUUCUAAUAUAUAAUAGUAGUUAAUUAUUAUUAUUAUAUAUACCUCCUAUUUGAAACCUACUUCAGUGCUCUUUAUCGAGUG